Molecule: ribosomal RNA, 482 nt
Filed under: uncultured bacterium
Lineage: Bacteria
Description: partial 16S ribosomal RNA
Rfam family: Bacterial small subunit ribosomal RNA
Source: RNAcentral
GACGAACGCUGGCGGCGUGCCUAACACAUGCAAGUCGAACGGAACUGUUUUGAAAGAUUUCUUCGGAAUGAAUUUGAUUUAGUUUAGUGGCGGACGGGUGAGUAACGCGUGAGUAACCUGCCUUCAAGAGGGGAAUAACAUUCUGAAAAGAAUGCUAAUACCGCAUGACAUAUCGGAACCACAUGGUUUUGAUAUCAAAGAUUUUAUCGCUUGAAGAUGGACUCGCGUCCGAUUAGUUAGUUGGUGAGGUAACGGCUCACCAAGACCGCGAUCGGUAGCCGGACUGAGAGGUUGAACGGCCACAUUGGGACUGAGACACGGCCCAGACUCCUACGGGAGGCAGCAGUGGGGGAGAUUGCGCAAUGGGGGCAACCCUGACGCAGCAACGCCGCGUGAAGGAUGAAGGUUUUCGGAUUGUAAACUUCUUUUAUUAAGGACGAAAAAUGACGGUACUUAAUGAAUAAGCUCCGGCUAACUACGUG